UAAUGAGACUGCCGGUGACAAACCGGAGGAAGGUGGGGAUGACGUCAAGUCCUCAUGGCCCUUAUGGUAGGGCUUCACACGUCAUACAAUGGUCGGUACAGAGGGUUGCCAACCCGCGAGGGGGAGCUAAUCCCACAAAGCCGAUCGUAGUCCGGAUCGCAGUCUGCAACUCGACUGCGUGAAGUCGGAAUCGCUAGUAAUCAUGGAUCAGCAUGUCACGGUGAAUACGUUCCCGGGUCUU
Molecule: ribosomal RNA, 241 nt
Filed under: uncultured Rhodocyclaceae bacterium
Lineage: Bacteria; Pseudomonadati; Pseudomonadota; Betaproteobacteria; Rhodocyclales; Rhodocyclaceae
Description: partial 16S ribosomal RNA
Rfam family: Bacterial small subunit ribosomal RNA
Source: RNAcentral